RNAcentral lists this ribosomal RNA (470 nucleotides) under uncultured bacterium. Its description in RNAcentral is "bacterial SSU rRNA". It matches the Rfam family "Bacterial small subunit ribosomal RNA", at positions 1059 to 1529 of the family's 1533-position model. The record is from RNAcentral.
CUCGUGUUGUGAAAUGUUGGGUUAAGUCCCGCAACGAGCGCAACCCUUAUCCUUUGUUGCCAGCGGUCCGGCCGGGAACUCAAAGGAGACUGCCAGUGAUAAACUGGAGGAAGGUGGGGAUGACGUCAAGUCAUCAUGGCCCUUACGACCAGGGCUACACACGUGCUACAAUGGCGCAUACAAAGAGAAGCGACCUCGCGAGAGCAAGCGGACCUCAUAAAGUGCGUCGUAGUCCGGAUUGGAGUCUGCAACUCGACUCCAUGAAGUCGGAAUCGCUAGUAAUCGUGGAUCAGAAUGCCACGGUGAAUACGUUCCCGGGCCUUGUACACACCGCCCGUCACACCAUGGGAGUGGGUUGCAAAAGAAGUAGGUAGCUUAACCUUCGGGAGGGCGCUUACCACUUUGUGAUUCAUGACUGGGGUGAAGUCGUAACAAGGUAACCGUAGGGGAACCUGCGGUUGGAUCACCUC